AAUUUACAUUUAACAUUUAAGUGAUGGUUGUUGAUAUUUUCUAUAAAGGUUUUUAAAUCUUCUGUAUAUCAAUUGUACAUACAACCAACUAAUAAAAUUAUCAUACGGGUUUUUUUUUUUUUUUUUUUGUACAUGAAAUUUGUACAAACCACUUGUUAGAAAAAUAUUUAUUAAUCGAGGUUUUAAUAUUAAUAGCGGUAGUAUAUUGUUACUAAUUAUCGUUGUAUUAUUACAACAGCAUCAGUGCCGAUUCGACAUUUCAAACAAUUGCUUAGUUAGUAAUCCAAAUUUCACAUUCUUGAAAAAUUGCAAUGAACCUUCCAAAUUGUAAUUGAUUGAUCGAUCAAGAUAUAAAAAUUACAAUUGAUGUAAUCUUGUGAUAUGCAUUGAUCCCUCCUCCACUAACAAUCCAAUUAAUUAAUAUUUGGUUUCUUCUGGUCGAUCGACCAUAUAUUUUAUAUACAAGACAUUGUUGCACUAGUGUUUUUUUUUUUUUUUGUGCAUGUAUAAAUGUCAUGUUAGGAUUGUCAUAGUCAUACAACUGAUGAUUUGCUCCUAGGGACUAAAUUUUGAGGUCCAUUAUUGGUGGCACUGCAAAAUGUUUCCUCCAUUGAUUUGGUAAUUAAAUUGUCCACUCUAGCACAAUAUCAUGCGCAUCCAUGUAGCUGGUACUGCAAAAUGUUUCCUCCAUUGAUUUGGUCUUCUGUUAAUAGUUGAUUCGCUGUAUUGUCACCAUUAACUUCAAGCUCAAGUCUGUUUAUUUCACUAUUUACAUUAUACAUAGGUCAAACCACAUUAACAAUUGAUAUGAUUACCAUGCCAGUGCAUAUCAGUAAAUUAGUCACGUGUUACAAGUUUAGCAUUUGAUGUUACUACAAUUACAUGCUAUUCUAGGUAUUAUUCCUAGCAUUGUACCUAAAUCCACAUUGGCAUCUUUGUUCAUGAUAGAUAUGAUUUCAUUUGAAUAGGGGAUCGCUUUUUAAUAUGUCAAAGUAAACACUUAGUCCAAUCUAAUAUCAAAACAUCCUAUCCAUCCACAUAGAAAAUCCAUUUGUAUGUUUUAUAUAUAUAUGUAUAUAUAGAGGUACCCACAUAUCUAGAAACCAAACAACAUGAAUAUAUGAUUUGACUGGUUAGCUUUUGGAGUGGGUGCUUAAAGUAGAGAAGAAGAAACUAUUACAAAAACUUUUUACUCACAAAGUGCCGCCCACCAUUGAAUGAGAAAAAAGAAAAGAAAGCAUAAUGAUUUUACCCAAGAUGGGGGGAAGUUGAAGUUGGGUUUGCAACCACAAUGGCUUAAGAUCCCAUUGAAAUGGCAUUGUGCUAGUGGGAAAAGCUGAUGUUUACACUUGCACACCAAUCUAUCAAAACCUAAAAAGAAAGAAUAGUUGUAAACACUUCUUUGCUUUUUACUCUUUUUGUGUUUCUUUAUUUACUCUUUUCAAUGUUCCAUUGAUAGUGGAUUCAAAAAAUGCAAUAACUCAUGUCUUUAUCUUUAGCCUUACUCCACCACCCAAAUCCAUUCUUGUAAAGAUGACUCAUGGCAGGUCAUUGAAAUUCCCACACACCCAUAAAGGAAAAAAAGGAAAAAAAAAAUUCAAAAAUUCAUUGUGUAAGAUAUGAUUUCUAGGUGAAUGGUUGGUUGUUUUAUACCCUCUUUUCUUUAGGGAGAUUGUGGAUUCUUUUGUUGACCCACCAUACCUUUUAUAAAAAGAAAAUUAUAUUACCCAUUACCUUCUUCACAUAGGCUAUUGAAAAUAAAAAUGUGCCUAGUAGGAGAAGGGAGAAGCAUCUCCAUCACUAUAACCCAAUUUCUAAGUCAAAUUAGGUUAAUGGGAACCCAAAAUUUUGCUUCUUCAAAAUUAAAAUCAAUUAAUUAUUUAAUAACACUUUGAUGCCAUCAAACCCCCUUUUUUUUCCAGGUAAGGUAGAAUCUUCCAUUGAAUUGAAAAUAUGAGUUGUAAAUUUAUUCCAAUCCAAGUUCUAUGAAUUUUGAGAGGGUUUGUAAUUUAAAGUAGUGACUGACAUACUAAAUUUGAAAUGGUACAUUGGGGCCAACUCAAUUCUAAUUUGACCUAUAUAUAUAUAUAUAUAUAUAUCUUGGAUCUUAUAAAAUUUUCUCAAGUGAGGUGAUGGCUUUUUAUGAUGUUGGUAUGUGGGGUCCGAAACUAAAGAGUAAAUAAUGAAAUCUACUGGGAAACAAACAAAGAAAAGAGAAAGCAGCAAAAUCAAUUCUAAGAUGAUGAUGGACUGAAAACAAUGAGUGCCCCCUUUCACAAGAGAAGAAAGCUAGGGUUCCCAUCAUGGCCCCCAUGCCUUGUUUGAUUGGAUCUAUAUUCUAUUCUUUGCUUUAUUUAUGUAUAUUAUUUUAUUUCAAGCAGCCCCACUUCUUCAACUGAAAUAUUAUGGGAAUAUUUAUAUGGUCAAUAUCAACAAACAAUAAAGUCUAUGGACAACUUAUUUGACACAUUUCUAUCUCUUUACUUUACAUCUUGAAUCUAUGAAAAAAAAAAAGAUUUAAAGCUAAAACAUGGUCCUCAUUAGGCUUUUCCCAUCAAUAUUGCAACUUGGGUUCAAUCGGUCAAGUGUCAUUUUCUUCGUUGUUGGCAUUUUGUUGGCUAGGUCCGUAAUGUAUACGUGACGAUGAAUUCGAGUUUUGAAUUUAAUUAAAAUAUAUAUGGUGGAAUAUGUAAUUGGGGUGCAUUGAAAGAAUAGUAAUAAGGGAAUAAGAAAUAUUGUUGAGGGAAAAGAUUGUGACCCGCAUGAAGUAGAUGUGUGAUUCUAUUGAAGAAAGGGACCGAAUCAAUGAAUUGGAUUAAUUUAUUGAUAUGUCUUUUACUUGUGAGGGAGUCAUGGGGGGUGUGUGGGAUUUAAUUGCCUUUUUCUUUGGUAUUAAUAAUUUUUUUUUUUUUUAAAAAAAAGGGUGUUUUAUUGUUGAUCAUUUAGGUAAAGGGGAUUAUUGACAAUUUUUAUUAAUUAAGUUGGAGAUGGAGAUUCCAAUGCGCAAUGCACACCACUCAACUAAAACACUCAUGAUAUCAUAUGUGCCAUUUGACAACUAAUCACUAAUUAAUUCUCAUUUGACAAUCCCAAUAAUCUCCUAAGAUAUCAUAUUUUAAACAAAUUUUUUUUUAAAGAAAAAAUGUUGAAAUCAAACUUAGUUAAAUAAUUAUCCAAUUUUAUAUCAUCCCAGUUUGAAUAAACCUAAAGACGUGUAGUGCGGGACCCAUAAUCACAAGUGUAAACUACUUCAUUGAUUAUUGCUUUUAAGGAUGUAAUCCACAACCACCUCUUGCAUUUUUAUUUAAAUAAAUUUGAAAGCAUUGUUCACUUUUUUUUCCUUUGUUAAAAAAAAUGUGUAGUACUUGAGAUAAGAUUGAACUAAAUUUCAAAUACAUACAAACAUAAACACCCAUAUUUAAUUAUUUAUUUAUUUUUAUAUAUUAGUUAAAACAAAUGCUUUGUUAUAGUUGGGGUCAAGACUCAAACCAUACAAUGACACAUGAAGAGAAUUAAAUUCUUGAAACGGUGUGCUAUAACUUAUAAUAUUUUGAUCAUCAAACCAGAGAUGAAUCCAAUAAGUUGUUUGAGAUUAUUUCAACUCCAAUAACAAAUUGUUUGACGUGUGAAUUACCAAGACGGAGGAAUAUUACCAAAAGAAAAUUAUAAAAUUGCAAUUUCAAGUCAAGCUAAUUAGCUGUUUGUUGACGCAAUUUGUUUCAAUUGUUUUAUUUUAUUUUAUUUUUUUGUUCUUUUUAGUGUUUGAUUGAGCGUAAAUUAAGCUAAUUGGUGAACCACCCAAUUGCGAAAAUUUAAUUAAUUUUUUGAAGAAAUAAUUAUUUCGUUUGAUGGACUUUGAGAGCACUUCUCAAUCAACAAUUUAAUGCAAAGAUUAGUUGUUUUAGCCACCCUUUGCUAAAGUUAAAAAAGAAAUUAAUGGGCGUGCAUCAAGCAUGGAAAUUGAUUGUGACCUACUGUUUGCUUUUGAAAAUAACCUAAUAUUUAAUCGUUGUACUGCAAUUAAAUUGCACCAAAUUGGCAAAUGCUGUUGUGUGCAAGAUUCUUUUCAAACAACCCAAAAAAAAUGCGUACACAAAAGGCCAAAAAAAAAAAAAAAAAAAUUCAUUUGAUUAGACUUGUCAAAUCAAACGAUUUGUCAAUUUCUUAAUCGAAAGUAAAAGAUAAAUUGAUAAUUGAUUCAUGCCUUCAUGAAUUGAUUUGAUUGGCCAAACAUUAUUGCGUGUGAGUCGCAUGAUUUACAUGUGAACCGCAUAUGAAAUAAAGUCUAAACUAGCAACUACAUAGAAUAAGUUAAAGCAAGCAACCACAUCAAUUAAGGAAAAUAAGAAAAAUAAAAACAAACAAAUUUAUGUAACGAGUGAUGAUGAUAAGAGUGAGAUAAAGUAGAUUCACAAUUUGAUAUUCAAUAAUGGAGCAUAAAUGCUAUUGAGGCCAGUUUAAGGGAGCGACUUCUUUAAAAAGGCUUACAUAAAUUUCAUUUAAAAACAAAAACAUAAACUUAACCACUUUAUGAUGCAGGCAGGAUUCACAAGAUCUUUGCGAGUAGAUCAAGAUUUUUGUCAUGAUUUGUGUUUUCAAUCUAAUCACUUAGUAAUUGGUGGUUAACAAAUAAAAAUAUAACAUUAAUUAAAUUCUGACAAUACUUCUCGCCGAAAGGUACAUAACAUAUGAUACUAUGAUUUCGUGGGUCGAUUUGUUAUCCAAAUUUUUAGAAGUUCGACUAUUAAAUAUGAGUUUACGUGUCGAAAUUUGAAAGUUCUAAUUAUUGGAUAUGAGUCUGUUUACUAUCCAAACUUAGAAAUUUGAAUUCUAUUCUCAAAAUUUUUAUUGCCUAUCUAUAAAUUUAUUAACAACAGCUUCUUUUUUUAAGAUAAACAUUAAAUUCUUUUGAAUGAUCAAAACAUUUUAUUUGGUAUUUACGGAAAAAUCGUUGUACCAUAAGUUUAAAGUUUUUUUCCCCAAAAUUAUCUUAUAUAAUAAUGAUUAUACAAAUUCCAAUUACCUAUUAUUUUGUUUUGGUUUUUAAAGAAAAUUCCAAAAGUCUAGAAAAUUGAGAAAAAGGCAAAUUAAGGGCUAAAAAUCUAACUUGACGUCUCAAUGGAUGCGGUCCAAAAUAGUACAUGCACUGGUGGGCAUUAUGAUGUUCCAAUGCAAUCAAUUUUUUAAAACACAAAAAAUAAAGAUCAAUUAUUUAAAAAAAAAAGGAAUUUUCUUUAAAAAAUAUUUAUUCAAGGCGCAAUGUUCUCCAACUUUUGAUUAGAUUCCUAGGCAAGAUCGGCUCCUAAUUUUAAAUAUUAUUUAUAGAAAGUAUAAGUCCAUUCACUUGCCCCCCAUCAUACGUUUAAUUAAAUAAUUCAAUAUGCAUGAUUAUCAUAAACUUUGUCAAAUUAUUUUAUUCUAAAAAUAGAAAUAAAUUUAAAUAAUGAUUCUUAAUGAAUUUGGGGAAUCAGAUUCACGUGUCAUGGAGUGCAUGCCGGUCAUAAAGGAACAGAUGGUCCAUGAUCUAAUGUGGGCCCCAUAAACUGCCUAAAAAUCCUAUGAACAAAAUCUCAUAUUUUCUAUUCGGUUUAUUUAUUUAUUUAUUUAUUUAUUUUGGGGUUUUGUCUUCUUUAAAUUGUUAACUUUGGCAUUUGUUUUUGUGGGUGCCACUUCAAGUGAUUCUCUGGCUUGUCUUCUAAUUUUUAUUUUUAUUUUUAUUUUAAUUUUGGUAUAUUUUCCAAUCAACCAAUUGAUUUAUAAAACUGGCACUUUGCUUUGCUCUGCACAAAUUUAAAGUUGCAGACAAUUUGGGUACCUUCUGAAAGAGGAUAAGACAAGCAAGUAAUAAUUUUAUGGCUGAUUACAAAGUCAUCUAAAGACAAGAUGUUCUGGAAUUUAUCUUGAUUCCACAGUAAUUUGAUUUUAAAAUUUGGAUCUUUCUCUUCAUCUAAAUUGCGAAAAUUGAUUAUACAACUAAAAUUUAAUUUUCUUCCAUUUUUCAAUUACCCAUUGUUAAUUUAGAACAUUUUCAUUGUUAGAAAAAGUAUAGCAACUAUUACAUGUGUUUUUGCAAUUGAAUAUAGGCACUUAAUCUCCGUGUUCUAAAAUGUUAAAUGAUGAUUACGACUAUAAAUGAGCACAGUUAAAUGAUCAGAUUUUAUUAGUUUUUAUUUUUAUCAUUUGACCUACCAAUACAUAGUUGAACUCGAUAAAAAAAAAUAUAACGAAAUCUUCAUCAUACGGCAAGUUGCAGCCAUUAGAAAGAUAACACCUAUCUACAAUUUUCUUUUUUCCUAUAUAUAUGCGAACAUGCUAACAGAACAUAUAAUAAUGUUGUCCAUUGUCAUUUCAUAUACAGUGAUUCGUGACCCAUUCCGAAUUGCCUAACAAUAGUUGUUGAAAUUCCCUAAUUCUAAAUACACAUUACUUCUUUCCAAAAAAAAAAAAAAAAAAAAACACAUUACUUAAGAUCCACUUUAGGAUUACUUUUAAAAGGUUAAAAAGUGAUUUUUUUUAAAAAAUAAAAGUUAUUUUUAAUGUUUGGUAAAGUUUUUAGGAAUUAUUUUUUAGUAAAAUUAUCUUAUCUUAUAGUAGAUUUUAGAAAAUAGGGAAUGAGUAGCUUUUUAAAAUCUGCUUUUAAGAAUCAAUUUUAUGUUUAAUAUAAUCUCAUAUAUAUUAUAAAAAUCUAAAUUACCCUUAUUAAUUAAUAGAUAAAAUCAUUAACUUAGAAGAAAUUAAUAUUAUUACCAAUUAUAUUGUGAUAACAAAAUGAAAAAUAAAAUUUUUAAUAUAAAUAUUUAUUUUAGUUAUAAACUGUUAUAUAUAUACAAUAAAAUGGUCCUUUUUUUUACAGCUGAUUAAUUAUUUUAGAACUUAUAGCACUUACAAAUAAAUUUUAUUAAAUAUUUGAUAAAUUUUUUUUACAGCUGAUUAAUUAUACAACAUAAUUAAUAAUAAUUAUUUUAAAAAUUAUAUCAUUACUAAAACGGUCCUUAGUCACUUUACGAAGUGGAGACUUAUUGGAUUAUAUUUUUUUCGUAUUAUAUUAUCUGUACAUUUAUUCAAUAAAAAUGUCUUAGGCAUUUUUUCCUUUUUUAAAUUGAAAAUAGAAUAUACAUUAUAAAACACAGUAAGUUUUUCUUAAGUGACUCUCAUCUCCCAGCCCACGCCAAAAAAAUUAAUAAUAAAAAAUAAAUAAAAAAUAAAAAACCGAAUCUACCCAGUACGUUGGAUUUGGAGGGUUGCAGUAAAAUAAAUAAAUAAAUGGUCAAAUAUAUUUACAAUGUCAGAAGAUAAUGAUAACUGACAGGAUUUAUAAUUGUGAGAAAAGCGAAAGCAGGACAAUGCUACCCUACCAACUGAGUCUCUGUCUCACUCUCACCUCUGUCUAGUAACACCGCCACCACCGGCAGCCCGUUUUCAGUGGGUUAUAAAAAAGCACAAACGCUCACCGCCACCCAACUUCAUCAUUUUUGUUUUUUUCUAGUGUCCUUUAUCACAAUUACUUUUUAACCACAAUUAUUUCAUCAGAUGUAAAAAAACAUUAUUUCGUCAUCUGGAGAUGCCAUUGUUUGUUUGUUUGUUUGUUAAUAAUAAUAAAAACAAAACAAAUAGGUGUCAUGAUGUAUGCAAAAAAUAUGAGCGGUCCCUAUCGACAUUGCCAAAAGAAAGAUCGUGUGAAAGACGCGCCUCGCGAAUCGCAACACAACCCUGCGUGCUAACCUCAUGAUGUUUCUCAACUGAGACCAAAUAAAAAAAAAAAAAAAAAGGAAAAGAAUUAAUUCUGUAAAUAAUUAAAAAUAAAACUAAAAAGUAAAAUUGAUAACGUCGACGUUUUAAAUACGCCAAGAAUGCGCAUUAUACGGGUUCGUGGCAGGGUAGACUUUUUCCUACUUUUGGCUUUACCUCUACCUCUGUUUCAACUACCCGUUCUCGUAUUUAAUGCGCGCGCGCGCACACACAUAUAUAUAUAUAUAUAUAUGACGUCAUUAUUAUGACUUGAAUGGUUAAUUUAAUUGAGAAACUAAAUUAGUUAAUAGUAUCAUCUUAAAUAAAUUAUGCUGAAAUUGAAUUUCAAAGAGUUUUUCGUAUUAAAUAUAAUGAAUCCAUUGUAAUGUUUAAUAAUUUUUUAAUAUAAACAAAUAAAUAUCCCUGAAUCCAAGACAUGAGAGAGGGGGUCAGGUCAGUAGGGGUGGCACUACUGCUGCAACUCCUGCAGAACAACAGCGACAUUUGCGCGCGUCCUACGUGUCAGCUUUUGCCUCACACCUGUCGCUUUCUUUCCCCCCCUAGUCGUUGACUACACGCUGUUCAACACCACGCGCGUGACAUCACGCCUUUCCCUGGCAGCCAUCCACCCAAGCCUCCCACGUCCGCAUCCCCCUUUCCUAACGUAACUCCCAAACAAAAGUUCCGCUAACUCACACUUCAAAUUUACUAAAAUACGCCACAUUUAUCCAAUCAUAAUUAUUAUAUUAUGGGUGCAAAUGCAAAUCUUUUUAUUUAUUUAUUUAUUUUUUUAUUUUUUGGUCUAUUGAUUGAAUGAUUUCUCCACAAUAAUUAAUUAAAAGACUAAAUACAAAAGAAUGAAGAAAACAAACAUAUUUUUUUCUUUGAUUUUUUUUGUUGUUGGGUAUUUGGAUUUUUUGUCUAGGACAUGUUUACAUGAACGCUAACAGUCUUGGGGGAUUUACAAACGGGGCAAGUGUGCAGACUUGACCCGCAAACAGUACACAAACACAAAUGCCUGCAAGGUAACAGCAGUACACAUGACUCUUCCUUUCUGCAAUUUCUGCACAACCUGCUGCCACCGCUGUGACUGCUUCCAUUAUCACCAUCUUUAUGAUCACAAUUAUUAAUUUUCUUAUUACCAUUAUCUUCCCAACUGCUGCCGCAACAAGACUCUGCAUCAUCAACGACUUCUUCCUCCAACCCCAGCGCAGCCGGCGCCGGCGCACGUCCUUCCUUGACCUGCGCGGCGGCUGAGGCGAGAACUUGUUCUAGAUUCGUACGUAGAGCAUUGGCGGUGGCCUCGUUCGACUGAGCCAAGUCUCGCCAAAUUUGAUUCUCUAUGCACAAGGACUUCACUCGUUCUUCCAAAGCCCAAUUCAAUUUCCCAAUCUUUUCAAUUUCGUCCUCUUUGGCCUUCAGCUUCUUCAUCACGCCUUCCUCUAUUACGUCCAUUAUUAUCCUCACUUGCCUCUUCUUCCUCUCUUCAACCUCCAUCCUCACUUUCUCCAUCUAUAAAAAGAAUUAUAAUAAUAAUAUGAACCCAAUAUUAAUAACCGUACAAAAUAAUCAAGAAACGUGAAAAAAUGGAAACUUGCUUGUGUUUUGAUUACUUACAUGUUGGGAUAUGAGGCGAUCGAUGUCGAACUGUUGUUCUUGGAUCUGAAACGACAUGUCGUUUCCGAGAAAGGAGAAGGGAGUGGGGGUACUGCAAGAUUCUCUCGACCGUUUUCUCGACGGGGUCAGUGGGAGAUUGUUAUUUUCGUAGUUGUUGUAAGUGAGACUGCUGUCGGAUUUGUUGAUGAGCGGUUUUUGAUGAGGGAAUGAAUCUGAGUUGAUGGACGAUCCGUAAACGACGGUGGGAAGAAAAGCCUCCGCCGUCGUGGCGGUUCCCGAUAAUGGGAGGCGGCCGUAUCCUCCUGUUCCUCCCAUCUGGGUAUUGUAGAUAUUCGAGUUUGCUUCAAUGGGGUUCAUUAUUAUUUCCCUGCAAAAAUGGAAAGAGAAGUACGUAAAAUGCACACUCGGACACAAAACAAAUAAAAAAAUUCUAUAAGACACAGAACGAGAUGAUACACACCUGUUAGCUAAGAGUUGCGGAGGAAAGAUACUGUAUUGAUGCCGGGCUUCAACAGCCAUGAUUAUGGAAACGAAAGGGUUUAUUUCUUUUGGAUUGGUUUUGCUUCUUGCUUUGUUUCUUCUGGUUCUUGGCUUUGGUUUUGGUUUUGAAGGAGAGAACGAGAGAGAGAAAAUGAACAAAAUGGCAUGCAAUAGAGGUGACAAAGAUGUGAUGAUGGGUUUAUUUAGGGUUUGGUUUUGGCUUAAAGUGAGAAAUUAUUAAAAUAAUGAUAAUUUUUUAUUUUUUCAAAAAGGGAAAAUGUGAGAGAUUUUUUUUUUUUUUUGAGAAUGUGAGAGAUUUGGAUUGUUCUUGUUGGGUUUAAGUUGAUUGGUCUAUUUAAAGGAAUUUGGUUAAGUGCUUAAUUCAAGCGGAAUAAUAGGGGUAUUUCCGGGAUUUCAGUGCAUGUUUAUUAUUGUAAACUAUUGAGUUUUUUAAUUAGGGAUAAAAUAAGUUAUAACUGACAAGCAUGGCAUCUGCCACGUGUAACACCUGCCACGCAAGCAAACCUGUUUGUUUCCUUCUCAUUUUUUUGGCCCCUUUUUUCUGCUGGUCCUCAACAGCGUGAUGGUGUGGGGUCCACGACAAACACGUAUGGGACAGGGUAAAAGAUGAGGCCAAGAUAAAAAAGAAGGGGGCGAUGAAAACCGAUCCCUGUGACCACGUGCGAUGUGCCAUCGUGGCGUGGGUGGGCCCAUCUGAUAGAUUUCCAAUUUUUUUUAAUAAUUAAACAAUUAAUAAAAAAGAAGUAAGCGGCGGUUGGGGAAGGUACGGUGUACCAGGGGAUGGUCCUUUGGCAGUUUCCUCUUUUUUACUUUAUUUGAUUUGAAGUUGCUCCCUCGCAUGGGAAACGUUGGCUCUCUUUUGUCUCUUUCUGCUGCCACGUGGCUUCAUACCUCCCUUCUUAGUAUCGCAUUACAUCUCAAUAAUUUUCAACCGCUUGAUCCCACAUUCACAUUUUGAUGCGCAUAGCCAUAAAUGGACCCACCGAAGAUAUUGCGUUAACAUAAAGCUCAGCUUGGGUCCGACCAUGAAUACGUCUUGUGCACGUAGUUACUUUUGUUCGAGUAUUAAUAUAAGCAAUGGUUGGUGCUAAUAAUUAAAAUUUCUCAUUUUAUCAUAAAUUUGGAAAAAAAAAAGACGAUCAUAUUAUUAUUCGACUUCCAAUGAAUUAACAACUCAGACAAUAAAUUUACGGGUAAUUUGUAAUCUACUCCUAAAUAAAUUGAUAUUUUACAUAGGGUUCCCAAUAAAUUUGACUUGUUGCACUGCACACCCAAAAAAAUUGACAUUUUGCACCAUAUCCCCAAUUCCGUUAUUUUCUCAGUUAAGUUUAACGGUGGAGGGGUAAAAUUGGAAGUUUAUUCCUUAAAUUAAUUUUAAUGGGAAUUCUCUUUAUUGCAAUUAAAAUAAAAAUCUUUAAAAAUUAAAAGAAAAAUAAUAGUGGUGACAAUGUACAUGUAACAAGAAAUUUUUUUAUUACAAUUAAAAUAAAAAUCUUAAAAAAAUUAAAGGAAAAUAAUAGUGGUGACAAAUGUACAUGUAACAAUAAUUUUUUUUAUUAAAAUUGAAAUAAAAAUCUUUAAAAAAUUAAAGAAAAAAUAAUAGUGGUGACAAUGUACAUGUAACAAGAAUUUUUUUAUUGCAAUUGAAAUAAAAAUCUUUAAAAAAAUUAAAAGAAAAUAAUAGUGGUGACAAAUGUACAUGUAACAAGAAUUUUUUUUAUUAAAAUUGAAAAAAAAAUCUUUAAAAAAUUAAAGGAAAAAUAAUAGUGGUGACAAUGAACAUGUAAGAAGAAUUGUUUUUUUAUUGCAAUUGAAAAAAAACCUUAAAAAAUUAAAUGAGCUAAAAAUUUUGUUUUUUUACAUAGAGGGGCAUUUUUGUCAUUCAAUCAAAAGUUAGACGGAGCAGUUAGAAAUAAUUGAAAAAUUAACGGAAUUGGGGGCGUAAUGCAAAAUGUCAAUUUUUUUGGGUGCGUGGUGCAACAAGUUAAAUUUGUUGAGGACGCGGUGCAAAAUGUCAAUUUAUUUGGGGGUAGGUUACAAAUUUCCCUAAAUUUACUAUAGUUAAAAUUUAUACAUAAUGAAUUAUAUUUAUAAUUCGUGACCUACUUAUUGAAUCGUAUCAUAUCAUAUCAUAUACUAAGGAUAUUAUGUUUUGGCAUAUGUAGUAAAAUAUUGGGUUGCGAAGAUAAAUAUUCAAGAUACCCGUUAUUGAUGCUUAUUCAUCAUACAAACAAAGAAACAUCUCAAAACUGGGGCAAUUUUUUUUUUUUUACCAAUUAUCGUUUUGAUGGCCUCCGGUAUUGACCGUCCAGCUAAAAAGAAAGCAUUCUUGUGUUUCAAUCUUUACUUGCUACAAAACAAAUUCUAUGAAAUUAUUGAUCAUUGACCACCCACAUACAUAAGUAUUAGUUAAUGCCACCAACAAUUCUUUUUCUCUUCCUUGUCGUCUGUAUUUCCCAAUUGGCUGUUGGUCAUAAUACAGCAAAAAAUUUAUGCUCCCAGUUUCUACUCUCAUGCAUGACAUAAUUGAUUACACUACUUGCAUAAGUUGCGUUCUAGAAACUCUCGAAAGUUACUAUUUGAGUUAAUUUUUAUUAUUUUUCUUUAAUUAUUCUAUUAAUAUGUGUUUUAAUUGAUUGCUUUUUAUUUUUUGAAUAUAUUUUUAAAUUAGUUACAAUAAACAGAUAUCACAAUUUAAAAUUUGUUAAAAAUCUAGAUAAACAUACAUUCUAGAUGGUCUACCAAGAUUGGCUUGAAAUUAUUUAUACUCAUACCAAAAUUUGGGGAGAAAAUACCCAAAACUUAGUGGGGACUGCUUUUGAAUUUUGAUACAAAGAUUAAAAAUGCUUUUCUAAAUUUCAAUUAAUUUGCUGACUUCUCCAUAUUAUUUUUUGGCUCAAUGUCGACAUUCAAGGCCUUAAUUAUAGCUAGCGGCUCAAUCUCCCAAUUCACACAAUAUCUUUUGACCUAAUCCCAAUCUGACAAUCCAAUCAAUCGCAACUAAUUACUGUAUAUUCCUUCAAAUUCAACAAGUCAUUCAUUAACUGUCAUUAAUGAAAACUUAUCCUCAAAGUCCUUGGCCCUUUUUUUUUUUUUUUUGGUGAUAAAUGAUAUAACUUUAUUAAAAAAAAUCAAAAUAAGAUGAUUAUUUAAAAAGAAAAAAGGAUACAUAGAAGCAGCUAGAAAAAAAAAACUCCGACAUAAACAAACAAUACUUGAGCGCACAAAUAAAUAUUUCUUAAUAUUAUUGGUUAGAUUCACUUAGUGAAAUUCGCACAUUUUUAAUCCAAAUUAACUAGAUUAUCCAUAAUUUGAACUCCCUUAUCUAUAAGUGUGAGAUUACAUACAACGUUUGCAUGAAAUAUUAUUACGAAAACAUUUAUUUGUAGGAGAUUUUCGACCCCAAUAAUGUUGAUCUCUCUUCAAAACAUCGGAGGCGAUUAGUAAUUUAUUAUCAAUAUUUUUUUUUCCUACUUUUUAAUCGAGCCCGCACCACAUUCUAAUUUACUAAGGAACAAGACAUGGCCAUGCGCUACUUUCAUGGAAACAUGUGCAACUAAGUUUCACUUUAAAAUAGUGAUGCUCGAGAGACAAUGUCAUGUUCAUUUUCCAAAUUUUAAUCACAACCCAUUCAAUCAGAUAAUUAAAUAAUUAUGUUUUCGAUGCCAUCUCCUCUUCAAUAAAACUCACCCAAUUUUUUAGGCGAUUUCAUCUGCCAAUACUAGCGGAAUAUUAGACAUUUGAGCUGCAUUUAAGGAGGCAAGGUGACAAAGAGAUCAGUCCAAUUUGAUUAGAAUACAAAGCAACUUCAAUUGACAAUUACAGCUACCAAUUAAGUUAUUUUUAAAUAUUCUUCAUCUCGCAGCAUUAGAUUGCGUUUUUACUAACAAAUUGGUGCAAAAUAUUGCUUAAAAUAAAACUUUUUAACUCUUAAAAUCAUGCAUCCACAUGGCCAAGACUCAAGAGCCAAGUUUACAAAAUUUAUCAAUGAAAUAUAAAUUUAUACAAGAUUGUGCGGCCGGCCGUACGAGCACAAGGUGGCAACCGGCAAGGGCAAUGAAAUGACACCGUUGCUUGUCUUCUCUCAUUCUCCAUUUCUCAAUUCUCCCGAAUCAAAUAGAAAAUUUUCAAUAAAGCCACAACUUCACAAAUAAUGCAAUAAAAGGGUAAACGUUAUAAAGGGUUUCCCAUUCCCAUCUUAUCCAUCUUUAAAUAUUUCUUCACCAAUCCUCUUUGUGAGUCUUUCUAACUAAGAUAGCAUUUGGCUUUUUAGUCUCAAAUACGAGUAAGUAUAAAUUAAUCUGAAUUCUAAAUAAUAACUUAACUGAUUAAAAUUAAAUUAAUUAAACUAUUUGGUUAGAAAAAUUAAUGGUCCCUAAGAAAAUGAGAAAAAGUUGUAUAGAUUUUCACUAAGCCUAAAUAAAUAAAUAUACAAUUAAUUGAGUUAUUAUUUUUUUUAAAAGUUUAAACUGUACAAUUCAUUAGAGUGCUAUUGAUAAGUGAUUUAGAAGUCUGUCAAGACUUAUCUUGAUUUAUCAUAAUUGAAUUUGAAGGUAAGUUAAAAAAAAAUUAUGUGCUAUCGUAUCAAGUCCAAUGAGACUUAUCUCAAUGUAUCAUAAUUGAAACUCAAUUAAAAAAAAAAACUCGAUGUAUUAUAAUUGAAACUCAAUAAGAAAAAAAAUCUACUCUCUCAUAGAAGCUAGAGAAAUUUUGUUCUUACAAUUUAGAGCUUAUAGCCUCAAUAAUGAGGUAAGAAUGCGCCAACUGUCAUUUAGAUUUUUUUUUAUCCUUUUAGCUAUAAUCGGUUUUAACUUUUAACCUAAACCAUGACAAUCAUUUUUCAGAUAUGCUUUUAUAGAGCACAUCAUACCGGAGCUAUAAAUUAUCAUUCUUUAAUGUAAGGUGAAGUUGCAUGACAACAUUAUCGUGAACCUUCAUAAUGAAACUAGAGAAAAAAUAGAGGUUAGAUGAAAAGUAGAUAAGAGAGGGGAUUCCCAAUUCACCUUUCGUCUUCACCUAUAUGUAUAUAUAUAUAUAUAUAUAUCUUUUUCAUUCAAGCUCUAUUAUUGCUCUCUCAUAUCCAACACACACUUUAGUUUAACCACCACCGAAAUCAACAAAAAAGGCAAAGUGAAACAAAAAGGUGCAUGAUAAACAAAAGAGAGAACAUUAUAGAUAUUUGAUUACUUUUUUUAGAGUAAAAAGAAAGAUACUGCUAAAUUGGACGGCUACGAUUGAUCGGAUCUAUGUUGUCAUGAUAACUCAAGACAGUACAACUAUUUCCAAAAGAAUAUAAUGUGUUUGUUCUUCCCCUACUUGAAGGGCAAUUGCAUUGCCCCCUUUUUCUUUUUUGUUUUUCAGUUAUUGCAAUGUUGACUUAAGGUGGAGUUGCCUUUUCUUUUUUCUUUUUAAUUUUAUUUUUUAAAACUUUCAUUCCCCCUAAAGUUGUAUUUUUGAUUCUACAUGCAUGAACAUGUGAGAUACCCACACCUGGCUCUUACUUAGUCAGAAGAAUCUGAAAGUAAAAAUCAACAAUUACAAUUUCUCUCUCACCCACUUUUUCUUUUUGGGAUCGAAUCUCAUUCAUCACCGCUACCUCCACAAACGUAUAAAACCCACUUUUGAAUUUGUCACCUUAGUCAGAAAUGUAUAAUUUUUGUAACCCUAAAUGUAAAAAUUGUAGUAAAUAUAGCAAAAUUUGAGUCUUAUUAUAAUGCGACAUUUUUUUUUUGUAUUUUGAUCACAAAAUUUUUUUAUCAUUGACAAUAUAUAUAUAUUUUUAAAUUAUAAGUUGUAAAUAUCUUAUAACAGACAAUAUUUUCACGACUUAUAAUAGAUGCCACAACAUAAUCAUGUCUAGAUAUUGAAUAUUGUAGCACCCAUCUCGAAGCAAAUCUUGGUGGAGAUAUGUUGCAAUGAAUGAACAAGGUUCCUCGCAAGAAAGCAACAAUGAAAGACCAAUUUUCUUUUUUAAAUUGUUAAUUUAAUUGAGGGGGGGCAUAAAGUUGGUUGUGAGUUGUGACAACUUACUGUAAAUGUAACGUUUGCUGCAACUAGGGACUGGGUCAGUUGAGCUAUCAUUAUUUCUUGUAUUGGAAACAUACCUUGCUUGUGCUGUGGAUUCUUUAAAUGUUUAAAGAAGAACUAAUAAUAAAUAAUAAAUAAUAAAUAAGAAAUAAGAAAUAAUAACAAUAAAAAUUUUAUACAAAAGAGGUUGGCUUUUAUUUAUUGUAUGCUUGCUUAUCUGCCAGAAAUUUGACCGUUAGCUGAGCUGACAAAGACUGCAUUGAUAUUUGAAAUCAUGGGUGUUGUGGGGUCAAUUAAGAAAAAAGUCUGGGGGGUACAUCAUACUUCAUACUUGUUCAUUUAAGAACACGAUUCUCUAUUUCUUUAUUCACUACUGUGGUUGUCUUGUGCAUUUAUGAUUUUAUAUCUAUUAUUCAAUUCAUUAUUAUUCACAGAAAUCUUUCAAAAGUAAAAAAAAAAAAAACAAUAUUAGAAAAAGAAUGUGACUUCACUUUCAAAGGUGCAUUUACGUGAAAAUUGCAACGGGUAUGGAAAUUUCAAGAAGAAAAAGAAGUAUAGCCGUGGCUGAGGCUGUGGCCGUGGCUGUGAGUUUGAUGAAUAAAUGACACAUUUUCCAACGAAGGCUUGAUUUGUCUGUCAGUCUUUUGAUUCUUGAUGUUUCCAUGUGCAAUGUGCAAGUCCACACUUGUCCCAUUUCUGCAUGUGUCGUUUCACUUUCACUUCCCAAAUGUGGUUUCUAGACAGGUCUCGGAGCUCUGCCCAAUCGCAUCAUUGAUUAAAAAACAGAAUAAGGUCCCCUCGCCCGCAUCGUUUAUUGUCAAAAUAACUUUGUUUGCCAUUAACAUAUUAUCUAUGGCAACUGCUACGUUAAGUUGAGUAUAACAUACACAUAUUUACAGUAACAAUAUUAAUGAUGAAACUUAUUAUUGUUACUAUGAGUGUAUAAAUGUUACACUCAACGUAACAUAAGAUGACCCAUUAUCUAUACAUAUUUACAAUUUAUGAUCUUACUGAGAAUAUGAGACUAUACGUAUCAAAUUAUGUAGUACAAAAUAUUUAGUCAGCAUAAUUUAAAAAUCUAUAGUUACUUACACAUUUUAAAAAUAUAUCAAUUUUUUCUAGUGAGGACAUCAAUUCACCACGAAAGUGGCCAAAUGCUUAGGAGGCGUUCAAAUUAGUUUUAUUACUUUUUACAUUCUUGAAUAUGAUCAUAGUUAUAAUAUAUUAUGAUAUGAUUCACUAUUACUGUAAAUAAUUUGUAUAGAUGACAAGAAUAAUACUAAUGAUGCACAUAAAAAAUUCCAAAUGUAAUCUUCCAUGUUAUAUAAUAUAUAUACUAAAUUAUAAGCUGUUUUCGAAAUUUUGACACCCAACAACGAAAAAAAAAAUCAUACACACCUCAAUUAAUAAAUUAAAAUCAAUUAUCUUAACAAUAGCUAGCGGUACCUCAUGUAAGUAAAGGUUCAAGUCCCCAUGUGCAUUUGAGAAUUUUUUUUUGUCUUUUUCCAACUAAAACCUACCGGUUCUGGGUAGAGGCGAGUGUUCGGUCCAAGUUAAACCAAACCGAAUAGAGCUUGAAAUUUUAUUUCGGUUCAAUUUGACCCUAGAAACCGAAUUGGUUGAAAAUUAGAAACUGAUCGGUUUUGGUCCGGUUCGGAUUAAAUCUGAAUCAAACAAUCAAACUCAAUCGUGGUUACAUUUAAAAAUUCGAAAAAAAAAAAAAACGAAUCCCCUCAAAUCUCAACCUUCAUUCCCUCAAUUGCAACUCAAACCGAAUUCUAACUGGAACCAAAAUUUGAACCUAUUCGGGUUCAAUUCUCAAAAUCCGAAUUGAAACCUGUAAGAACCGGAUCAAAAUCCAAAACGCCCACUCCCGGCUCUAGGCUCAAGCAAUUAGGCUACACCGUAAUAAAGAUAUGAUCCUGAUAGAUUUAUGAGUAAAUAUCAGUAAACUCAAAAGUAAUACUUCAGAAAAACAGCAACUAAUGAUACCUCGUACUAUUGUUUGAAUUCAAAGCAAGAUGGCAAAUAAUUUGGAAGAUAUAUACAAGAUUACACUCCCUGACAUAAAUUUUGGCCCAAGAUUUUCAUUCCUUCUCUGCACAACACAAAAAAUCAAAAUCCAGAGAUUCUCUCCAAAUUAAUUUCAUAAAUAGGAUUUAAAGUUCAAUAUUCUGUCAUUGGACCACAGUCCCAUGGGCCUAACACUAUAGAUUUGGGUUACUUUCAGUAGUUGCCUCUAGAUCUGGGAUAAGUAGAGUUUCAACAACCUGAUACAGCAAGAAAAAGAACUACUGCUUCAUUAGCCAAGCAAUUUGAGAAAUUAAUUUGACAAUCUUAUUAAGUGAAAACUAGCAUCCAACUAAUAGGCAUAUUCAUACAAAAACCUCCACAAAGCAUCCAUCAGAACUGCCAAGAAACACCAAACAAAAACGACUAGUAAAAAGCCUCAAACUAUGAUCACAAUGAGCCCCUAUAGCAAACCAACCAUCCGAAAACAUAACAAUCAGUCAUCAUAAAAAUCAAUAACUCAUCAUGAACUCGUAAUAAAACCAUCUUGCUUGAACAAGUUGGCAAAUGAGCUUAUAUAAAUUAUAAAAUUGGUCUGAAUUGGUUUGGUUCCAGUUACAACCCAAGCAUUAACUUUCCUCCAUGUAGAUUGCUAUAAAUAGCAUAAACAUUUGAAACAGAACACAAUGGAAUUGAUUAUAAAAUGACACAAACAUGUAGUACGAUAUUUUAACAUUAUGCAUUACAUCUCGUCCUGCUAUAAAUAUCAUAAACACUUAAAACAGAACACAAUGGAAUUGAUUAUAAAAUGACACAAACAUGUAGUACGAUAUUUUAACAUUAUGCAUUACAUCUUGUCAGCUAAAACCAUUAUCUUUCUCACAGGAUACCGAACAAAGCCCCAGAUUUGAUACCUCACAACAUAUCUUCACCGCUACCAAUGCAAUAUGCUCUUAAGAAAGCUUACAAAUCAUCAAUAAAGGCACCAUGCAUUCCCCCAACUUGUCCGGUAGCAGAAGAGAGCAAUGAACUGCAAGGAAAUAUGACCAGAAAUAGAAAAAGAUAUGGAACACCACCCAAUCUUAAGAGACCCAAGAUUUGGGAUGUCAAAAUCCGGUCCGGGUCUGACCUUCCCGGUUCCGGACCCACACAAUAAUUUAUUAUACCGGACCCAGGUAUAAACAUGAAUUUUUAACUCUAGGUCCGGUCCGAGUUCAACUCGAAAAAAUCUGGAUUCCUAGAUUGCAAGUUUUAAAUUCGGAUUUUUUUUUUGAAAAAUUAAUAUGAAUUAUAAGCUUCAGCAAGUUGCAUCCUAGUAAAACAAAUAAAAUGGAAAGACCGGACAAGUCCAUUAAAUCAACUAUCAUACCAGACUUCAAGUAGCUAAACGCCCUUCUUAAAAUAGUAAGGAAAACCAGUCGCAAGUACUGACUAAUAACAAUUUAAACUUCCCAUUCUUGAAUGACCCACAAUGCCUCAAUAACCUCAGUACCAUCUGCCACUACCCCUGAGAAAAAACUGGAGCAAUCCUACAUUCAUACUGUGGUUCAAGUUCAACAAGCCCAAAAAUGUUAGACAUGCUGAGAGCAGCCAGCAUAUCCAAGGUUUCCUUGUCAAUCCUAAUUUCAUUAGUCUAAAUAGCUGAUUCAUCGGGUACAAAGUCCACGUGGCAUUCACAACCCAUCUCAGAUUAAGCUGCUGUCCUGAAGAAGAGAAAGACGGUGAAGCAGAGGAGCUUGAGAUGUCUAGAGGUUGCUGCAGCUAGUGUGAUUAGAGGAGGCAGCUGCCUUGAUGAUGGGAGAUGAGGAAGAUUAGAAGAUGUGGCUGGGGUGAUUUGUGAGCCUGUGAGGCUUAGAUUUUUAGGAUUGCCUUUGUUUUUUCUAACUUUUUGCUUUUAUAUUUAUAAUUAUAAUUAAAAAUUAUUUAUUUAAAAAAAUAAAAAAUGCUGUAAUCCAGGUCCGGUUUCCGGAAGUCCGGGUUUAGAUGAACCCGGAUACGUCCAGUUGAGAAAAAUGUUUCUGGAUCCUGAAUAUUUUAUACAUCCGGAUCAACUGGCUUUGGAUAGGUCUGGGUUUGUUUCCAUCCCUAUCCAAGAUAACAGACUCAAGUAUAUUGAACUACAAUAUUAUUAAAGUGCCAAAAACAUAUCAAUAUUAAUUAAAAACAGAACUUAAUAUUAUUAAAGUGCCAAAAACAUAUCAAUAUUAAUUAAAAACAGAACUUAAAAAUUGAAGAAUAACUUGAGAGACAGAACAAAGCUUAAAGAUUGAUGAGGGCAGAGAUCUUGAAUCAGUGAUGGACAGAGAGCUUCAAUUAGGCUUUUCAAGAAAGGGGAUGAGAAUUAAGAGAGUGCAAGGGAGGAGAUCUGAACAAGAGAGAGAAAAACCUGUGUUUAUAGAUUUUCUUCCAACAAACUUGGAUUUUCCAAAUAUAAUUGCACAGACAAUGAGUCACUACUCAUGGACUUGAUAGGGGUUAUUAAUGGAGGUUGCUGCCAUUGUUUAGUAUCUGUAGGAAUCCAUAAUUCAGCAUCCUUGCUUGUAUUAACCUGAGGAAGUGAACAGAAAUAAGCUGUAAUCUCCCACCUGCAACCUGUUAAACAGUAAAAAGUUACUAACCAGUUCCAUUCUCUAGCAAGAUAGAAUAUGUACACACAUGUAUGCCCACCUGCCUGCACAAUACUGAACGAGGAUAAGAAAAUGUGAUAUGAGAAAGAAAGGUAGUAAACACCAAAAAUUGGAUCAGAAUAGUAACCGUGGAAGAAUUUGAUUAAGCCAAACAAACAAUUUUGGGGCCAAAUUCACACCGGUUGAAAUAAAUAAACAAAACAUCAAGCAUAUCAUCGUUUAUAACAAUUACCUUGUGGAAGAACCUUAGAGAGGGACUUUGAGACUGAAAGUUUGAUCAAGAAUGAUCUAAGUGAGAACUCCAGAUGACCUUCUUCCACCAUUGAGCCAUAAGACUGGUUAACCAUAAUUUUGAAAACAUAUCUCUCCAAAGGGACAUUGUUGGCAUUGGAGAAAAUAACUGCGACUCUUUCCACCAGCCCCUAUUUUGUAGAGAUAUGAAAAUCUCAUUAAAUUUUACAGCACACAAUUUUGUAUCACUACACGAUAAGAAAGCGUUUGCAUAUCAAAGAUAAGAACAAGUAUGCCUCUUAAGUACAGUUAAAUUUAUCUUCCGACAGUAAACCUUAAAAUAAUUGAUGUUCUAAAAUAAAUAUGAAGACCUUUACAGAGGCUUGAUAGAGGUAUAAAUGAUUUGAACAGAUUCUAUUGAUGACCAUAGCAAAUGGGCUCCACUAUAAAUAUUUCAUUACACAUUUGUAGAGUCUUAUGAUAAGUUCUAUCUUCUACCCAGAUGUUCUAAGAGAAAAUCUUGUUAUUAACAUCUUGACUUACCAUUUAAAGCUUGUUUAGUUUGUGAUUCUUAAGUGGGAGUUGAUGGAAUGUACAGAAGACGCCUGAAAUAUCAUUCACUUUCACAUGUUCCACCUAAUCCCUCUAUUUUCCACAUGCAUCACAAUAAGAUACAAAUUGGCCACAAUCUGCAAAAAUAGAAGAGAAGCUGAUUGGCAUUGUCAUUUGCUAGGGCCAGCAUGUUAAAUAUUAAUAGCACAAGUCAAAAAGUUUCCGGAACCCAUAUAUCGACUAUGAAGAAGGUAACCAGCAACGGAGUAAUGAUCUAGUGAGCAAUAGUGCCCUUAUAAUGAUGAGCGACACUGGCACGUGGCGCUGUCUGAUUAAUUUACAACGUCAAUACUAUUCACAUGUAGUCACAGACUUGUGCCACGUGUCCAGUUAGUUGCUCAGCAUAUGGUGGGUAAUGGUGCUUUCAUCAACAACAAUACAACUUAAAAGAUAAAAAGAGGCAAACCUUUUGAAUGAAAAGGAGGAGGCUACUAACAGAAGAAUGAAUGUAGUCUCUGAGCUGGGGGUGACGAGCCCUCUGAACAACCAAAUUCAUAUAUCUCCUCCUCUCAAAAGCACCUAAUAAUUUUUGCAUUACACAUUUACACCCAAAAAAUAACUUAAACUUCUAAAUUCUGUUUUGGCAUUAAAAAUAAAUUCAAAUUAUGAUAGGCAGGUAAAUAAGAGAAAUUAGUAAUACUAAAAGUACCAGAAGGGUAAAGUCCUUUGAGGAAAACAACUGAAGUGAUUGCAACUUCCAAGAAUUCCGCCAGAAUUCGAGCUGUCUCAACUGUUCAAAAUUUAAAUCACUUAUUUAUUAAAUUCGAUUUUUUUAAUUAAAAAAAAAAAGAGAGAGAAACUAAACCUUGAGGAGACUGAGCGUCGCUACGAUCCAUUAUCGUUUUCACUCGUUAGUUGUUUCUGCCUCUUUGAUUGAUAGUCAAUUUGGCUCUCAUACUUUCACUUUGCUCCUAAUUCAGAAACGAGGGUUUUGGGAUGAUGGUUUCAGAGGAGCCCAUAAACUGUUACACUGUGGCUCUAGCAGCAGGGAUGGCAGGAUAACCCGGACGGGCCCGGAUUCGCAUGAACCCGGAUGAUCGGAUGUAUAUUUUAUCCGAAAUCCGGAUUUAUUUUUUUUAAAGCUGGACUGAUCCGGAUCCAGUUUUGGGUUCACCUGAAUCCGGAUUUCUGGAACCCGGACCCGGAUUAUUUUAUUUUAAAUAUUAUUUAAUUAAUUUUUUAAAUUGUUAUUUAUAAGUAUAAAAGCAAAAAAAAUGAGAAAACAAACCCUACAUUUCCUUUAGUUCACCUUAUGUUCAUUCUCCAAAAUUCAGCAAAUGAAUUCAAAAUCAUCAUCGCCCCGAUUCAUCAUCAUCCAUCAAUCAUCAACAAUACAACAUCGCCGCCCGGUUCAUCAUCAUCCAUCAAUCAUCAGCAUCACAACAUCGCCACGGUGGCCUCACUUCCCUAAAAGUUUCAAUUUCUACCUUAUGUGUUAAAAUUAGAUUUCUCCUGCGAUUUGAGCUCAAGGAAUCAUGUGGCUUUCUAUGGAAUCAUGUGCUUUCUAUGGAAUUAUGUGGCUUCUUUUUGGUUAAUUUAAUUUUCUCAUCUUCCUCAUCCUCCACUAUCUUCGUAAGAUCCCAUGAGGAUCUAUUUGUUUCUGCAACUACCAAAGAGCCAAAAGUGGCCUGCUUGAUUUUGUUUUUUAAUUUCAGGCCUUCAAUACAUAUAUUUGGGUUUAAAACCCGUAAUCCGAAAACCCAGAUUUUUUGGGUUCAACCCAGACCGAACCCGUAGCUAAAAAAUCUAGGUUUAUAUGCAGGUUCGGUAGUAUUGUCAUCCAGGACCGAAAUGGGAAAGACCAAACCCGGACCCAGAUCUGGAUUUUGCCAUCCCUACUCUAGCUCCCUCCAAAUUUGCGCAAAUUUACUUCAGUGGCACCUCUAAAUUACAUUGCUAUCCUUUGAAUUUGUUUUAAAUUACACCAUCGGGGCAGGUGUGGAUUCAGAGGAAUCACAUGUUUAAUCUUGCACCCAGAUGUGCAAGGGGUUUUAAAAUUGGGUAUUAACUAAAUAUUCAAUUGUGAUAGAAAAAUUAAAUAUUUAAUUAAAAUAAAGUACAUAAAGAAAAAUUUAGAAAAAAAAUAGAACUGUUGUGGAUUAUAUGUGGAUUUCCACAUUUUCAAGUGUGUGUGUAAUAAUGAUGUCUUCCAUCACUUCAUGUAAUGGCAAAUGACACAUCCUCAUUAUAUUUACACUAUAUAAAUGAAUAAGAGAUAAAAGUCAUAUAUGCUUUGACGAUUAUUCCUUUCUUAUUAUCUUCUCUCUCUCUCUCAUGUUUUUCUUUGUAUUCACAUGCUAAUUCUGUCAAUUUCUCCUUUUAUUGCAUCACUUCUAAGCUAAAAAUCAUCUGCCUAUAUUCAUAUUAAUGAGGUUUAUAAUCUAUAAAACUAUUAACAAAGUUCCUAAUUUAUAAUACGUUAUCAGCACGAAUUUCGCUCUGAUACAUAAAGUAUUCUAUCUAUUUACUCUUUUAUUUUCUACAUACUCCUAAGUAAAGCUUAUUAUUUACACUCUUUUCAAUAUUUAUUGUACUAAUCUUUAUUUAUUUGUUUGUGAUAAUGUCUUACUUGACAAAAUUGGAGUUUAACGCCUUGAAUAUAUCUAGGGAGAAUUAUUUAUCCUAGAUCCUAGAUAAGGAAAUUCAUCUUGAUGUUGUGGGCCUUAGUAACAUGAUAAAAAAUAAUAAUGACUCAUCCACUCAGGAUCGAGCCAAGGCUAUGAUUUUUCUACGACAUCAUCUCCACUAAGCACUUAAAAUGGAAUAUCUCACUAUAAAGGAUCCAUAUGUCCUGUGGAAUAAUUUGUAUGAAAGAUAUUGUCAUUUAAAGUCAAUCAUUCUUCCCAAUGCUUGUAGUGAAUGGAAUGUCCUCAGGCUACAAGACUUUAAGUCAGUACAUGAAUAGAAUUCUGCAUUGUACAAAAUUACUUCAUAGUUAAAAUUGUGUGGAGAAAAUAUUACUGAUGAGGAUAUGUUGGAAAAAACAUUUACAACAUUUCAUGCUUCCAACAUGGUUCUACAACAACAAUAUAGAGUUCGUUAGUAUACAAAAUAUUUUAACUUUAUUGCAUGCCUUCUUGUGGCAGAGAAGAAUAAUGAAUUAUUAAUGAAAAAUCAUCAAGCCCAUCAUACUGGUACAAAAUCAGUUUUUGAAGCAAAUACUGUCUCACAUGAUUGUGAAGACAAUUAUGAAAUGGGCGUGGCCGUAGGCAUAACCGUGGCCGUAGACAUAGUCGUGGCUGUGAUCAUGACUAUUAUCGAGGUCAAUGAUAUAAUAAAAAUCAUUAUUAUCGACCUUGUGGUGGUUAUAAGAACCAUAAAAAUAAGAAAAAUGAGGGGGGAACAUCUGCCCAACAUGAUAUUUAAGAAAGCACUCGUGAUAGAUGUGGAAUGUCUGGCCAUUUUUAAGACAAUGUCGUACUCCCAGACAUCGUGUGGAUAUGUUUCAGACAUCCUUAAAGUCAAAAGGAAAGAAUGUUGAAACAAACUAUAUUGAUGACUCGGAUCCAGUGGAUGUUACACAUCUUGAUGUUUCUAACUUCUUUGAAAAUAAAGAUUGAAAAAUUGAUCACUUGAUCUGUGAUGGAAAUGUUUAUCACAUUUAAAAAUUCUACUUGUGUUUUAUGUUUGUUUAUGUAAUUUUUAUUUUUCAUGUUAUCUAAUAUGUAUUUCCCUUUUUACCUUUGUUUAAGGAUAUAAAUUUCAAUAAAAUGUUUAAUGGAGAAAUAUGUUCGGCUGAUAAUGCAACUACACAUACGAUUUUUCAAACAAGAGGUAUUUUUUAAAUUUAAAUAUGAUUAAAGCCAAUGUGAAUACAAUAUAAAGUCCAGUAGAUCUUAUUAAAGGUAUUGGAAGAGCAAUGAUCAUAUUAGCAAAAGGUACGAAAUUGGAUAUUCAUAAUGCUCUGUAUUCACCUAAAUAAAAAAAAAUUUACUUGGUUUUAAAGACACUCGUCGUAAUAAUUUUUAAAUAGAAAUAAUGAAUGAGAAUAAUGUAAAAUAUUUAUACAUUACUUCUAACAUGUCUAGAAAGAAAGAGAUAUUAGAAAAACUUCCAGCUUUCUCAUAUAACUUAUAUUAUACGAUGAUAAAAUUAAUAGAAAGUUACGCAAUCAUAAAAGAUAAGUUAUAUCAUCCAAAAUCUUUUAUACUUUGGCAUAACCGCAUCAGUCACCUUGGAUCAACAAUGAUACGUAUAAUUAUUGAAAAUUCUCAUGGACAUCCAUUCAAAGAUUUGAAAAUUUUAUUGUCAAGUGAGAAUAGUUGCACUGCUUGUUCACAAAGAAAAUUGGUAGUUAGACCAUCACCUAGUAAAAUUAAUUUUGAAUCUCCAUCAUUUUUACAAAGGAUUCAAGAAGAUAUCUGUGGACUUAUUCACCCACAAAGUGGUCCAUUUCGUUAUUUUAUUAUUUUAAUUGAUGCAUCUACACGGUGGUCACAUGUUUGUUUAUUAUCUACACGUAAUAUUGCAUUUGCAAGAUUGCUUGCACAGAUAAUUAGGUUACGUGCACAAUUUUUAGAUUAUCUAAUCAAGACCAUACGUCUAGAUAAUGCUGGUGAGUUUACUUUUAAAAUAUUUAAUAAUUAUUGCAUGACAAUUGGGAUUGAUAUAGAACACCUAAUACCAUAUGUACAUACUCAGAAUGAAUUAUCAGAAUCUCUCAUUAAAUGUUUACAGGUAAUUGCCAGAACUUUAUUAUUACAAAGUUAAUUACCUAUUUCGACAUGAGGGCAUGCGAUUUUGCAUGCUGCGGCAUUGAUCCGCUUAAGGCCUACUACAUAUCAUAAAUAUUUCCCAUUGUAAUUGGUAUUGAGAAAUUAACCAGAUAUAUCUCAUUUACGCACAUUUAGCUGCGCAGUACAAGUGCCGAUUGCACCCUCACAAUGCACCAAAAUGGUACCUCAACAUCGAUUGGAAAUAUAUGUGGGAUUUGGCUCACCAUUUAUUAUCAUAUAUCUUGAACCCAUUGACAGGUGAUGUAUUUACCACAAGAUUUACGAAUUUUCAUUUUGAUGAGACAAAAUUUCCUCCAUUGAGAGAAAGAAAAAAUAUCUAUGAGAUUAGGCAUGAUCCUCAGUGGAAGGUGACUCAUCUGUCUCAUUUAGAUCCAUGCAUAUCUCAGAGUGAAAAUGAAGUGCGUAGAAUGGUUCAUUUGCAGCAAAUUACAGAACAAUUAUCAGAUUCAUUUACAGAUACGAAAAAAGUAACCAAAUCAUAUAUACCAACUGCUAAUAUACUCGGCCGAGUCAUUGUACCUAAAGAACAAUUAAUGAAAAGUGCAGCUGAUGAAUUGUCUAUGGCACGCCAGAAGCGUAGUAGACCAAUUAGUUCAAAAGAUAGUAUUCUAAGAAAAAGAAAAAUGAUUAAAUAGGGUUUUGCUGCAAAUGAUGACAAAAAUAUAAAAGAACAAAUUGUUUCAGAAGAGCAAAUAGUCUAUGAAAAGACCAAAAACCUUGACAAUAUACAAACUCUUCAUGAGUAACAAAGCUUUAAAAAGGCACUUGAAUCCAAAAAUAGUGAGAUUUCUCCUUAGGGUAAUAUUUUGAAAAGACGAUUGAUCAUUAAUAAGACCAAAUACCUUGAAGGAUCUCUUGAAGAGGCAUAUGCCCAAGAUAUGGCUCAAGCCCUUGAACUGGCUAGAGAUAAAGAAAUUAUCAUUAAUGAUGUGUUUACGUUUAUAGUAGUUACUGACAUUGUAAAUGAUCAUAGUCCGCAAACCAUUGAGGCAUGAUUGGCUUAAAUGGAAAGAAGCAAUCGAGGCAUAAUUGACUUCUUUAGCCAAGCAUAAAGUAUUCGGACCUAUAGUCCAAACGCCUAACGAUGUCAAACAUGUUGGGUACAAAUGGGUAUUUAUACAGAAACGUAAUGAAAAUGAUGAAGUCAUAAGAUAUAAAACACGACUUGUUGCACAACAAAGACCCAAUAUUAAUUAUAAUGAGACAUACUCUUCGGUAAUGUGUGCAAUUACGUUUCAAUUUUAAUUGGUUUAGCUAUAUUAGAAAAUCUUGAUAUGCGUCUCAUGGAUGUGGUGGUAGCUUAUUCAUAUGGGCCACUUGACACCAAUAUAUAUAUAUAUGAAAAUCUCUGAAGAAUUUAAAAUAUCAUAAUCUUGUCAAUCCUCACAUCGUAGCUUGUAUUCAAUAAAGCUACAAGAAUCUUUAUAUGGAUUAAAAAAAUCUGGACGCGUGUGGUAUAAUCGCUUCAGUAAAUAUUGGAUAAAGAAAUGGGAUAUGUUAAUGAUCCCAUUUGUCCGUACGUUUUUAUCAAGCAAUCAGAAUUUGGAAUUGCUAUUGUUGCAGUUUAUGUUAAUGAUUUGAAUUUAAUAGGAACUCCUAAAGAGCUCCAAAAGACUGUUGAAUGUUUGAAAAAUGAAUUUGAAAUGAACAAUUUAGGAAAAAUUAGGGCCUGUUCGACACCAUCUCCAAACACUUGUUUUCAUUUUCGUUUUAAGAAUACAAAUGUAAUCCAUGUUCGACACAAUAAAUUCAGAAAAUAAAUUAUAAAGCAAAUAAUUCAGAUUUUCCUUUAUAGUUAUAAAAAUAAGAACAUGUUUAACACGUUUUUAGUGAAUCCGAAAUCAAAUUCCAAAAUAAAUUACAAAAUAAAACAUUUGAUAUUCUUCUUGUUCUAACCAUAAAGCACAACUCUCUUUUUAUUCUAUAUCUACUCUCUCCAUGGAUACUUUUAUUCUUCAACCACAAUUCACCGUCACAGCUCUCUCUCUCUCCGUCACAGUUCUUCAAGUAAAAUUGAUUGCUGCUGCUGUUACAUCUCAGCUCUGUCUCGAUUGGUGGCGGUUGUGCUGUUACGUCUCUGCUCUACUUCAGCUAGUGGUGGAUUGACUGCUGCUAUUGUGUUGAGAAUGGCUGAUGCUGCUUCGGUUAGUGGUGGAUCGACUGCUAUUGCUUCGGCUAGUGGUGGCUGUUGCGUCUAUUUGGGUAAAUUUUGAGAAUCGACGCUGGAUCACGGGUAUUAUUCUUUGUUUGGGUCCAAUUUUUUUUAAUUGUGUUUUUCAUAUUCUUUGUUUGGGUUGAUAAACUUUCAUUUGGUUGGGUUCAGUGCAUUUGGUUUGUGAAUGGAAAUUGAGUUCUUUUUUUGUUUUGUUUAUAUUUAAUUGUAAAUUUGGAAUGUGUUGAUGGAAUUUAUUGUGAAUUUAAAGAGCUGCUAAAAUGUUGAUUUGGAAAUUUAGAAUUUAGUUCCAUGUCAAGUUUGGAAUUCUUUUUAAGGUAACAAUAUAUAAUUAGUUGUCUAGUUCUUGGAUCCUAUUUCGUUUAUUCAUCUCUAUCAGAGAAUAAAACAAAGGAAAAUUAUCAUUUGUAUACACUUAGUUUACUCCAUUAUAAAAAAUACUAUAACACUUUGAGGGUGUAUCAAUCAUCCAUCUUAAGUUGACAAAAUGUAUCAGCUGACCAUCAAACCGUUAGUUGCCGUUUAAGUAUGAUGACGUCAGAAGAGUAAUUUGGUCUUUUUAUAUGAUACAAGUGAUAAUUUAAGGGUAUACAAGUGAUAAAAAGAGAAUUUAAGGACAUACAAGUGAUAACUGUCAAGGGUAAAAUUGUCAAUUCACUAUAAUUCCGUUAACUUUCAAACGGCAGCUAACGGUUUGGGGGUCGACUGAUAUAUUUUGUCAACUAAGGGUGGACGAUUGAUACACCCUCAAAGUGUUGUAGUAUUUUUGAUAACAGAGCAAAUAUAAGGUAUAUGAAUGAUAAUUUCCUUAAAACAAAUUCUGUAAUGAGUGAAGGAUAAAAAGCAUUUUAAUUACUUCGGUUUUUCACCAGGACAUAAUUGGAGAAACCAAAAAAUGGUUUUCUAUAUUGAAGGCAUAGUAGUGUGUGGUAAUAAUAGAGAAGUCUGAGUCCUGGAAAAUAAAUGAAUUCAUGUUUGACAUAUCUACAGUUAUACAAUUACUUAUAUGUUCUCAUUGGACACAAGGAGAAUUUUCUUUUUAAUUUAAUAUGUUUGAUUUUUUUUUAGGUUAAAGACUCUAGGUAGUUGUUGUGCAAAUUUUAAUGUACUCGCAAGCGCACGAAUCUAUUGUAGUAUAGACUAAUGGUGACGAGUGUCGAUCCCACGAGGAGGUGGAUUUUAAUUAUAUAUAGAAUUAAUUUUGUAAAUGGGUAGUUGGAUUUAUGGUGGAAAUGAUUUGGAAUAUGCUAAUACUUAAAUUAAAAUGGCGAGAAUAAAUUCUAAAAUUGGAAUUGCAAUGGAGAGAAUAAAUUGAAGAGAAAAUCUAUUAAAUUGACGUACUUGGGUAUCUGGAUCCGUAUCAACAUGCAUCAUGGGCUAAAUAAUCCGUAUUAAUGCCAAUUAAAUCAUGAGGGGGGAAUCCACACCUCAUGAACCACGCUCUAAUCAAUAUGGUGCUAAGGGCUUAUCGUGCCAAAUAAUAAUAACCUUAUACUAGAGAGCCGGUGUAACCAAGGCGGUAUCUAGACAAGACUAUUAUUAUUUGUCGACGAGAAGUCAAAACAUCCACAAAAAUUAGAGGGGAAGAGAAAAUAAAUUUACCAAAUUAAGCCCAUGACACAUGUUGAGACUUCACCUUCAACCCAAGCUUGAAAGAAAAUUAGCCACUCAUAGUUGAACUAGGGGCAAAAUAGGAAUUUAUUAAAAUACGAAGAAAAUACAAGAUGGAGAGGGAAUUACAGAAAAUGGAUCCCAAAAAUGGAUUCAGAGAUAUCAAAUUAGGGGGGGGAGGCCCCCUUUUUAUAGAUACAUGGAGUAAAUCAUGGCCAUCGGAUUAAAAACAGUUUGGACGCUCAGGAUUGCGCCACGUCAUCAGUCAAUAGUCCACGGUUUGACCACGCGGAUGAACAGUAACACGGUUUGACCCGGAUGAACAGUAACGCGGUUUGGUUGAAAAUAAUCCUGUGUGAUGCAUGCACCGUACGCGAGAUUUUUCGUCCACUGAUAUGCUGCCACGUCAUCAUCAACAGUACAUAAGAAUUUUAGUCCAACAGGAUCGUGACACCUCAUCAGUCAAUGCCACAUCAUCGGUCAAUGCCACGUCAUCAUCCGUCUAUGUGAACAGUGUCGUGAACAGUAACGUAUACAGUACCGUACACGUGAAUAGUACCGUACAUGUGAAUAGUGCCAUUUUUCCUUUUAUGCUCCUCCUAAGGUUUUCGACCGUCCUGAGUUCAAAAGUGAUGUCCGUUUUGCCGUCUGAUCUCUCAUUUAUUGUGAAAUGACUAUAAUGCCCCUAAAAUACAUAAAAUACUUAAUUAAAAUAAAACACAUGUAAUUAAAUCACAAGAAGGUUAAAUAUAUAAAAGUAAGGGUUGUUAGUAAGACUUAAAAUGUAAAAUGACGGUUUUCUCCUUUAUAAAUAUGCAUUUUCUAACACUCAACACACCCCCCAACCAGCUUAUUGCUAGUCCCUAGCAAAUAAAGCGAAAACAAAAUUCAAAUUCAAAAUAAUUUUUUUUUGUUUUAAUAGAAACACUCGUAUUUAUUCCAUCAGAUUAAUGAUAGCAAUCAAAUAAAAGUAUAAGCAUUAUCUCCAGUCUAAAGCAACAUCACACCCACAUCAACCAUCCACAUGAAUUAGCCCAGUAGACUUUGUUUUAGCUACUCUCAAGAAUGACAUGUCAAACCCCAAAAUCUCACUGGAAGUAGUGACACUCUCACAAAUAAAUUAAUCCCAAUAAAAAUAGUCACUCCAAUGAAUGGUAAUUGAGAGAGAAAAUAAUAAAGAAGUGAUAUCACAUGCUCUCACCAAGAUGAAAUAAAUAUGCCCUCAGCUUAGAAAUAAUACGAUCUCAAGUCAAAUAAAAUGUUAGUCAACCCACUUUAUUUAUCUUUUUUUUUUAAUUAUGCAUCACUACAUCUUUUUAGCCCAUAUAACUAGCUUCUACUUCAAACUAUAGUUCCCUAAAAUUAAGAAGGACUUUUAUUAGGACGAAACGUAGGCUAGGGACAUGGCUAACAAAGAAGGAAAAUAAAGAAAACAAAGUGUAUAUUUGAGAAAAAUGCAGAGAAUUUUUUUUUUUUUUGGAAGUUGCAAGGUGGAUUUCACCUAUUUUUAUUCUUUUGAAACAACAACUUUUGUUUUUGUUUUUUUUUUUUUUGCUUUUAUUUGGCAUAACUUCACUGAACAAAAUAAUUAUUUACAUUUUCUCAAACAUAAAUAGGUGAUGGAACUUAUAAGAUAUCGGGUAAUACUCCAAAUCGGAGUGGGUCAAGAUGAUAAGUUGACAAAGAAAAGGUUUUUUUUUUUUUUUUUUUUUUUAAAGGCUCAAAAGGGUUAACUAUGGAUAUUAAAUAAAAGGGAUGGCUUGAAAGGCUCAAACGGAUCAAAGAUGGCCUCUCCAUCGUCUUUUAGGGCUCUAAAUAAUUUUCCAUAUCUACUAGUUAGAUGGGCCUCCAAAUGUAGCAACACACUCUUUUUUUUCUUUUUUUUUCUUUUUUUUUACCAUUUUUUUUAAAGGGUUAACUCAAAAGAAAUGUAGAGAUCGUGUAUAAAAUAAUAAACUGCUAAGCUGUAUAGAGAAUGGGCAAAAGGGUUACUCUCCAAGAAAAUAAUAGGCUCAACAACUCACUUGGCACUUAUUUAUGACAUGUUCAUUCCUUCAAGCAACUCAUAUUUGUCUCCGACAUCAACAUGUAAAGUAGCAAACAUAGCGUAACAUCACUUAAGACCAAAGAUAAUACAAAUAAUAAAAUUUGAAAUUAAUCAUGUCAUCCAAUGUUAAAACAAAUCACACAUUUUUUUUUUUUUUAAACAUCAUUCUACCCCCCAACCUAUUCUAAACAUGAAAGGAAAAUAUGCAUGCAGAAAUGUGAAAAUGAUGUAUAAAAACUAAUUAGAAAAGUUACACGUAAAAUGAUAGAAAACGAAAAUGAUUUUUUUUUUUUUAAAAGAAGAUGCGUUUCUAGAGGAACUACACUCCAUAUUCAGCCAUCUUCGACUCAAAAGUUGGAAAAUGUAUAUUUAUAGAGGAGAAAUUAAAGAAGAAAAAUAAACAUAAACACAUAAUAAAGAAAAAGAAAAUGUCUGAAUUUUUUUUUUUGAAUUUUUUUUUUCAAACAAUGAAGAUGCGUUUCUAGAGUAACUACACUCCAUAUUCAGCCAUCUUCAACACAAAAAGUUAGCAACAGUUAGUUUCUACAACAAAAAAUUAGUAAAAACUUAACUAAAAUUUCACAAUUGUCGACUAUUCCCUCCCCCCAACCAGAACGAAACAUUGUCCUCAAUGUUUGAAAUGAAAGAAGUAGAGUUUAGAAGAUAUCACCUGGGUGGUGCAACACAGAAGAAAAUAUUUACAGGCGGAGAGUUAAAUCUAAUUUGUACUUCUUACUGCGGCUACUGUUACCAUCAUUAUUUGGACGCUCCAACACAAAGGUCCAGGGGUCUGGCUCCGGUCGAUAAGCUUGUAAUAUAUCAAGUAGCUCAUUAGCAGUGUGAGCACAAAUAAAGAGUUUUUUCACAUUAGCGGGAAUGAAAUAGUUUUUUAUUGCAUGGUUAAGAAAUGCGAUAAAGCCAUCAUAAAAGUUAUUGACAUUUAACAAACCGAUGGGUUUUUGGUGGAUGUGCAGAUGGGCCCAAGAUGCUAGCGUGAUAAGUGCCUCUAGUGUUGCAAG
RNAcentral lists this long non-coding RNA (32939 nucleotides) under Citrus x clementina. RNAcentral's name for it is "Citrus clementina (C. clementina) long non-coding RNA (CCLE_LNC004022)". Lineage: Eukaryota; Viridiplantae; Streptophyta; Magnoliopsida; Sapindales; Rutaceae. The record is from RNAcentral.